UAGUCCACGCCGUAAACGAUGUCUACUAGCCGUUGGGGUACUUGAGACCUUAGUGGCGCAGCUAACGCACUAAGUAGACCGCCUGGGGAGUACGGCCGCAAGGUUAAAACUCAAAUGAGUUGACGGGGCCCGCACAAGCGGUGGAGCAUGUGGUUUAAUUCGAUGCAACGCGAAGAACCUUACCAGGUCUUGACAUCCUGCGAAGUUACCAGAGAUGGUUUCGUGCCUUCGGGAACGCAGUGACAGGUGCUGCAUGGCUGUCGUCAGCUCGUGUCGUGAGAUGUUGGGUUAAGUCCCGUAACGAGCGCAACCCUUGUCCUUAGUUGCCAGCACUUUUUAGGUGGGAACUCUAGGGAGACUGCCGGUGACAAACCGGNGGAAGGUGGGGACGACGUCAAGUCAUCAUGGCCCUUACGACCUGGGGCUACACACGUGCUACAAUGGGAACGCACAGAGGGCAGCGAAGGCGCGAGCUGGAGCGAAUCCC
Molecule: ribosomal RNA, 487 nt
Filed under: uncultured bacterium
Lineage: Bacteria
Description: bacterial SSU rRNA
Rfam family: Bacterial small subunit ribosomal RNA
Source: RNAcentral